This 301-nucleotide ribosomal RNA is filed under the name uncultured bacterium. RNAcentral describes it as "partial 16S ribosomal RNA". It matches the Rfam family "Bacterial small subunit ribosomal RNA", at positions 509 to 809 of the family's 1533-position model. The record is from RNAcentral.
CAGCCGCCGCGGUAAUACGUAGGGUGCGAGCGUUAAUCGGAAUUACUGGGCGUAAAGCGUGCGCAGGCGGUUCGUUAAGACAGAUGUGAAAUCCCCGGGCUUAACCUGGGAACUGCAUUUGUGACUGGCGAGCUAGAGUAUGGCAGAGGGGGGUAGAAUUCCACGUGUAGCAGUGAAAUGCGUAGAGAUGUGGAGGAAUACCGAUGGCGAAGGCAGCCCCCUGGGCCAAUACUGACGCUCAUGCACGAAAGCGUGGGGAGCAAACAGGAUUAGAUACCCCCGUAGUCCCUGUCUCUUAUAA